RNAcentral lists this ribosomal RNA (301 nucleotides) under uncultured bacterium. Its description in RNAcentral is "partial 16S ribosomal RNA". It matches the Rfam family "Bacterial small subunit ribosomal RNA", at positions 509 to 807 of the family's 1533-position model. The record is from RNAcentral.
CAGCAGCCGCGCGGUAAUACGGAGGGAGCUAGCGUUGUUCGGAAUUACUGGGCGUAAAGCGCGCGUAGGCGGUUACUCAAGUCAGAGGUGAAAGCCCGGGGCUCAACCCCGGAACUGCCUUUGAAACUAGGUGACUAGAAUCUUGGAGAGGUCAGUGGAAUUCCGAGUGUAGAGGUGAAAUUCGUAGAUAUUCGGAAGAACACCAGUGGCGAAGGCGACUGACUGGACAAGUAUUGACGCUGAGGUGCGAAAGCGUGGGGAGCAAACAGGAUUAGAUACCCCAGUAGUCCCUGUCUCUUAU